UAUAAAUUAGCGCUCUCACUUAUCUGUUCUGAAUAUGUUGUGCCCCCACGUUUGAAAAAUUCUGGAUUCGCCCGUUAGUAUCUCCCGGUAGGUUCUACAUUGUGGAUGCUGCGGGUUGCCAUAAGCCUAUUCUGAUUUUCAAAACGGACCAUACAUAUAUUUUUAUUUACGGUCACUUUAAAAUAGUAAAUACUGUACCCAACUAAAAUCAAUAAUAAUUUAUGCUGUCAUCUUUCUUAAAAGAAAAAAGAAAUUGGUGAUCGUAAAUACACAGAUGUUUAUGUCAGUGCUAUAAUAUCUUUAUGUCCCUUAAGUGUUGUUGUUUUCAAUUUUGUCUGCUUUUAAGAAUUAUGUCCAAGUUACUUAGAACAAGAAAAACGUGAUAGAUUGGAGAUUAAGUCCCAGUUCUGUUUAUUGACCAUAAUAAAUCUCAUUAGCAUAUCAUAAGCUGUAAAUUCCUAUCGAGUGUUCUACUGAAUAUCAAGCACGUUUUAAUGCUGUUUCUUCAUAGUUACAUAUUCUUUUUUUAUAUAGUUCUCUUUGACAGAUAAAAUGAAUGAUAAAGGAUACAAAAUACGACUUAACUUUCUUUUCAAUGAAUGAGAAACAUGCUUUGUUACAUUUUUGCAGGCCCUAGUAUUAUACUGGUGUUUUAAAAUGAAAUGAAAUGCAUGACUGAUCAUAAUUGAUAAUAUAUACUUAUUAUUUCUGAAGGUGAAUAUACAAAGUUUGAAAUAUAUUGAAUCAUAUUAACUUGUACCACAUUCUUUAAUACUCUAUUUUUGUUUUUUUUAACUUCUUAUGUUUGCUGUAUGGCACAUUACAAAAUUUCUUCUAGUACUACAGUAACCAUGAAAAAUAAAAAAAGAUAGGAUUCCAUAUCAGAAAAA
Molecule: long non-coding RNA, 890 nt
Organism: Anneissia japonica
Lineage: Eukaryota; Metazoa; Echinodermata; Crinoidea; Comatulida; Comatulidae
Exons: 2
Source: RefSeq, a predicted model, not a curated record